Non-coding RNA from Aegilops tauschii subsp. strangulata, 4142 nucleotides. Lineage: Eukaryota; Viridiplantae; Streptophyta; Magnoliopsida; Poales; Poaceae. The record is from RefSeq and is a predicted model, not a curated record.
ACCUCGUUCGAUCCCCCACCCCCCACGCACGAACCCACCAUCUAAACCAGCGAAAAAAAGAGAAAAUCCCGCACGUCUCCACACAACCACGAUCUCCCUCGAACCCGAAACCACCCCAUCAUCCUCACUCUCCCGUAGCAGCGAUCUCACGAAACCAGAAGUUCUCGUCUCCAAACCUGCUCACGAAGGAGAACCAUCCGGCCUGGAGCAGCGGCGCCCCCUCCCGCGACCACCCGCGUGCCUUCGUCCCCUCACCAUGUUUUUCAGGAUAGAGAAAAGAUGUAGGAGAAAUUAUAUUCUUUCUCACCAGCAAUUCAGGCGACAAACAUCCCUACGCAAGUACGCAACCCUGCCGCCCUACGUAGCCCGUGCCAUGGGUCCGCCGCGCCUUCAUCUUAGACGAGCCGCCGGGAGAUGGGAAGCGGGCCAGUCCUUUGAUAAGGAGGUGUCACCGCAGGUCCUAUCUGCCACUUCGCUUCGCCCAGGCACCCGCCGACUCGGCUGACCCGUCGUUAACCAGUGCCGGAGGUGUUCGAGGCCCGGGCCUUCGCGUGGAGCACGUCAACGGCCCUCUUGCCGUUGAGGCCUUCCGAGACCGAUUCCACAGUGCCACUUGCUUCGGCUGGAUCAGGGGUCCAAGUACAACUACCAGUUCAUGUGCCCCUGCUAACUGUCAUGUUUUUCAGGAUAGAGAAAAGGUAUGAGCAUGGACCUCUAAUAUUUUUCUAUACAUUUGACAAUUUGAUUCUUUCUCAAAAAAGAAAGUAAAUCCAUCAUUGCUAAUAUGUAGAUGUAGGAGAAAUUAUAUUUUUUUCAGUUUUGUAACUACUGACAGAGUUUGCGUUCUUUGUAGCAGAAAUUUGAUAGCCUUGUUUAUUUUGUUACGCCAUUCUCUACAUAUAGUCUUCUUGUUGUGAUGGAUAGGCCGCGGUGACAGCAAUCGGAGGAGAGUUUGGCGGAUGGGGUGGAUAACCGACGAGGUUACACGGACGACUAUAGCAGUACAUCAGACUUAGCUUCAUAUUUCGGGCUGACAAUAAUUUCUUCUUUAUGUUUUGGUUUUUCUCAGUAUCCCAUGUGUUAGUUCUGCAUGUAUUUUAUUUGUUUACUGAAACUAGGAGCAGUAGUACAUCAGAGUAGUUACUGAAAAUACUCCUACUACAGGAGGUAUUGCAUAUGGUUUUGGCAGAGAAUGCAACUUGUUUUCUGAUUUUUAUUUGAUAUCCGUAUUUGUGUGUGCUGUAACAAUGAUUCAAUACCAAGGUCAGGAUAAGGUGGAAGACUGUGUAAGCUCCACAAUGGAGAAACUUUUGGUAACCAUCUGUUUACUUCUUCCGACUAUUCAAUGACCAAUAUGUCCUGAAAAUUAGCUACUAUAUAUGAUGUACUAAAAUGUUGCUCAAUCAAGAGCUUUCUGUACACACACCUACCUAAUAUCUGUGUGUUUCUACUUAAGAUGAUGCUGGAUGUAGUACAUGCCUUUUUGUUAAUUCCAGCCUUAAGAUGUUGCUCUCGAAUUUAUAUAAAAAGUUAGUUCUAUAAUUGUUUUAUAAAGUGUACUUUACAUGAUAAUAACAAUUUCUACAGAGUAUUUUAAUGUUUUUCAAAUAAAAAGUAUGUGUUGAAAGUAAUAACAUUAAGUAUCUUUAGAUUUUGUUCAGUAAAUCACUGCAUAUAGAUGUAUGUCUAUUUGUAGCAUUUUAUAGUGAGGUAGUGACACAGGCAAGUAUGAGAUGUACCUUGUGUUCACAUAAGCAUUUCACAAGAAGGAAAAUACUACAAAGGUCUUAGUGCUAAAUCAUAGUAAUUUUAUUUAUAUUCAUUAUAUAUAUACUCCCUCUGUCCCAAAUUAAGUGUCUCAACUUAAGUUAGUACAAAAGUUGAGACACUUAUUUUGGGACGGAGGGAAUGGAAUACAUCUCACCUUGCAAUCUUGGCUCUUUCACUAUCAAUUGAGUACAUCCGAUAUUUUCCACUGUAACUAUACUGGAGAUAAACAUAAUGUUGAUAUACCCGUGAUUGAUAAAUUUAAGAAAAUAUGAGAGACCUGCACCUGCAAUAAUCAGGUUCAAUUGGCUUUUGAGAAAAUCUCUGGAAAGUGGAAACCAUGAUGCUGAUAUACCUCUGAUUGCAGUGUUGCAUAUUAGUACAUCUAUAUGCUCUUAUAUUUCUUUACGGAGGGAGUACUACUUUAGUAUACAGUCUUCACUAAAGAGGACAAAAAUCUACAUUCUUCCAACUUAGGUUUAUCUUCACUAUUUGUUUUCUGGUUCUAUUUUUCAGAUUAUAAACCACUUCUUUGGUUCGAAGGAAGAAACUCCAUUGCUGCUUAGGACUUGGUGGUGAGUAAGUUAAAAGGGCAUGGUAACUAUGACUAUACAUAACUAUGCAUGGCUUUGUUUUGAAACUACAGCUACAUGUUAGAUCUCGUACGGAAAUACAUGCACCAAGUAUUUCAUGUGUCGAUUGUUAAAAUAGGAAAACAUAAAAAAUGAUGUUAUGUUUUGAAUGGAACACACAAACUCAACUAAGUACAUUUGUGAAAUCCUAUGCAGAAGAGAAUAUAUUUUCAUUUAAGCUAGGUAUGCUGAUGAACACCUUGAAGAGGAUUGCUCUCACAUUUGAAGAAGUUUUAGCAGUCCACUGUUGAUGGGAUUCUGAAGGAAGGUUUGUUCCUACAUCUAUCUCUGUCAUUGGGCUGAACCGGCAAACCUAAGGGAACAUUAUAUUUAUAUCCUUGAUCGGAAGCUUGGGAAGGGCGAGGUUGGGAUAACAUACUUCUGCACUGAGACAAGUACAUCUGAGCUGAACGUUGUAGAGCUUGCAGGAAUUGUUGUCAGCACUUUGCCUAUGUGCCAUUCACAAGAAUAUUUUAUAAGUAAAAUAUUUUAGAGAAAUGAUGUGAUUCAAUAAAUUUCAAAUUUUUAAAUACCUACUUUUUAUUAUUUGUUUUAAUUCUACAUAUUUUCUGAAAUAUCCUUGAUUUUUCUAAAUUUUGGGCUUUUUCUAUUUUCUCAUUUGAUUUUAUCAUGCAUGGUGAGCUCUAGAUAUGAGGAGGCUAGCCAAGACAGGCAUGUGGUUAGAGGGCAGUAGUUUGCCCAGAGCAAGGAGUAAAUGAAGACGGAUGCGUGAGGCUGAGGCAUGAUACCGUUAGAAAGUACAUAUGUAUUAUUCGACGUAUGUGUUCAAGUGACUGUUAUUCCAUUUCCAAAUCAUGUGCUUUUGUCAAAACAAGUGGAGGGAGGUUAAGAAGUUCAUUGUCAUUAUGUCAGUAAGGUGAUGAAGAGGGUGGAUAUCGGUCUACAGACAUAGAAGAGUGAAGAUAUCUGAAGAAAAAAGAAGUAUUCAUAUUCUUUAUUCCAUGGCAACGCCACGCACAAUCAUGGUCAUUUUGACAUAUGGUGUCAGAAAAUGCAGAGCAAUAUGAGCUUGUCAUAGUAGCUAUUUAGUUGGAAGAAAACAUAAAUUGAAGAUGGACAUAUCUGAUGUGCCUGCUUGAUAGGAUGCUUAUUUAGUUAUGUGGAUGCAGUGAUGCUUCCUUUGUUGUGGAUAUGUGCUCUUUUUUUUUACAUUUUCUUGCUUCUUACUUGUCCAUCAGGCUACUUUGGUACAUUUUAGAGAGAAAUUUGUAACGAAGGGAGUACAUUGUAUAUGGAAGACGAUGUCAUACUAUUCUGUGGGGUGAGCACAUUAAGUGGGAGGGGUUGUCGGGGCUACAAGAGGGCUUAUCAUGGGUUUGUUGAUAGCAGCGAGCCACUAGCAAGGUUGGAUCAGCGUUGGUGGCGAAUAACAAUGAUGAGUGACGUUCAAAUUUAUGUUCCGUGGCAACCCACGGGCACUCAGCUAGUCACAUGUAAACAAAGAACACCUACCAGGAGCUAGCAGUCGUGAAAGUGAAAGAAGAAAGUAAUCUUCGAGAGAGCGUGAGACCAUUCUUCCGGCAAAAACAAAACGAGCGAGACCAUACAAUACAAACCAGCCUCCGUGUCAACUGCACGUCUACAAGAGUACGCCGGCCGCUGGACAAUCGACAGGGACGCGGCUCGACUGGAUAAACACCGCCGGCCCUGUCGCGUAGAUGCGAAUAGACCACAGCAGUACUGUGCCACACAAGAGCGCCGUGGUGGUAACUGGUAACUGGA